CGCCUUGCCAGCCCGCUCAGAAACUUAAAUGAAUUGACGGGGCCCGCACAAGCGGAGGAACAUGUGGUUUAAUUCGAUGAUACGCGAGGAACCUUACCUGGGCUAGAACGCAAUCGGAAUCAGGCCGAAAGGUCUGCGCCAGCGAUGGCCGCUUGCGAGGUGCUGCAUGGUUGUCGUCAGCUCGUGCCGUGAGGUGUCGGGUUAAGUCCCAUAACGAGCGCAACCCCUACUGCUAGUUGCCAGCGGGUCAUGCCGGGGACUCUAGCGGAACUGCCAGCGUAAGCUGCGAGGAAGGUGGGGAUGACGUCAAAUCAGCACGGCCCUUACGUCCAGGGCUACACACGUGUUACAAUGGCCAGUACAGAGGGCAGCCACCCCGCGAGGGGGCGCUAAUCCUAAAAGCUGGUCCCAGUUCGGAUCGGAGUCUGCAACCCGACUCCGUGAAGCUGGAUUCGCUAGUAAUCGCGCAUCAGCCACGGCGCGGUGAAUACGUUCCCGGGCCUU
This 504-nucleotide ribosomal RNA is filed under the name uncultured Rikenellaceae bacterium. RNAcentral's name for it is "bacterial SSU rRNA". It matches the Rfam family "Bacterial small subunit ribosomal RNA", at positions 903 to 1382 of the family's 1533-position model. Lineage: Bacteria; Pseudomonadati; Bacteroidota; Bacteroidia; Bacteroidales; Rikenellaceae. The record is from RNAcentral.